RNAcentral lists this ribosomal RNA (458 nucleotides) under uncultured bacterium. RNAcentral's name for it is "bacterial SSU rRNA". It matches the Rfam family "Bacterial small subunit ribosomal RNA", at positions 29 to 523 of the family's 1533-position model. The record is from RNAcentral.
AACGAACGCUGGCGGCAUGCCUAACACAUGCAAGUCGAACGGGAUCCAGGCUUCGGCCUGGUGAGAGUGGCGGACGGGUGAGUAACGCGUGGGAACCUGCCCAAUGGUCUGGGAUAACCGCGGGAAACUGCGGCUAAUACCGGAUAAGCCCGAGAGGGGAAAGAUUUAUCGCCGAUGGAGGGGCCCGCGUCCGAUUAGGUAGUUGGUGGGUAAUGGCCUACCAAGCCUACGAUCGGUAGCUGGCUGAGAGGAUGAUCAGCCACACUGGGACUGAGACACGGCCCAGACUCCUACGGGAGGCAGCAGUAGGGAAUCGUUGCGCAAUGGGCGAAAGCCUGACGCAGCCAUGCCGCGUGAAUGAUGAAGGUCUUAGGAUUGUAAAUUACUUUCACCGGGGAAGAUAAUGACGGUACCCGGAGAAGAAGCCCCGGCUAACUUCGUGCCAGCAGCCGCAGUAA